CCCUACUCUCCCUCCCCUAUCCCCUAGCCCCCGGCUGGCCCUGAUGUGUGACGAUCCCCUCCCUGUGUCCAUAUAUUCUCCUUGUUCAACACCCACUUGUAUUCGACGAGAUCAGGAGCAUGCCCAGCUCUCCACUGUGGUCCUCAUGUAAGAGGAGAACCAUGACAACGUAUUGCAUUAGUCCUGCACAGUAAUCGCGCAUGUUGUUUCUUUACACACCCUAGGUCAAAAAGGACGCACGGUUUAUGCGCUGUCUGCUUGGAACACUUGCUCUAGACACCUGACUGCCAUAGAAGAAGCCAACAUGGAAAGGAACCAAGGCCCAGGACAACAGCCCCAGCAGGGUCAGCUGCCUGCACCAACCUGCCAGCCGUGGAAGUGAGCCACCUUGGAAGUGAAUUCUCCAGACCUGUAGAGCUACACCAGCUUAUUCCAUGAGAAGCAGAAAUGAACUGCCCAGCUGAGUCCUUCCCAAAUUCUGGCACAAAAGAUCAUAAACAAAAACUAUUUUGAGUCCUCAAAUUUUGAGUGCAGUUUGUUAUGCAGUAAUAGAUCAUCAGGAGAGGCGUAGAGAACAGUAUAUAAAGUCGACAUAGAACCAAACAAGAAGAUUAAAGUAUAGGUGACAUUUUUUGUUUCCAAUUAUUAUUAUUAUUGAAACAUUAAAUCCUUCCUGAGUGUAAGCGAUCCAGGUGAAAUGAAAGUAAUCGGAAAAUUCUUGACUGUGCUAUGAGGCCUUAGAGAAAAUGAAAUCCCUUUCACACAUAAUUCCAGAAACACAAAAUAAAAUAGAUUCAAAAUGUUAUUGGCAUUGAAAUCCAUGAGUAUCCUUUCUUCCCUUUCUCACUGAAAUUUAUUAGAAGAUAAAAAUCUAUGCAUUACCUAUUCAUGGUUUUCAGGGCUAUUUUCUCCUCCUUUGAUAUGUAGUAUAAAUUUAUUUAUUUAUUAUUAA
This is a long non-coding RNA of Callithrix jacchus (white-tufted-ear marmoset), 952 nucleotides long. RefSeq lists it as uncharacterized. Lineage: Eukaryota; Metazoa; Chordata; Mammalia; Primates; Cebidae. The record is from RefSeq and is a predicted model, not a curated record.